This 450-nucleotide ribosomal RNA is filed under the name uncultured bacterium. RNAcentral's name for it is "partial 16S ribosomal RNA". It matches the Rfam family "Bacterial small subunit ribosomal RNA", at positions 354 to 796 of the family's 1533-position model. The record is from RNAcentral.
GUGGGGAAUUUUGGACAAUGGGCGCAAGCCUGAUCCAGCAAUGCCGCGUGCAGGAAGAAGGCCUUCGGGUUGUAAACUGCUUUUGUACGGAACGAAACGGUCCGGGUUAAUACCCUGGGCUAAUGACGGUACCGUAAGAAUAAGCACCGGCUAACUACGUGCCAGUAGCCGCGGUAAUACGUAGGGUGCAAGCGUUAAUCGGAAUUACUGGGCGUAAAGCGUGCGCAGGCGGUUUUGUAAGACAGGCGUGAAAUCCCCGGGCUCAACCUGGGAAUUGCGCUUGUGACUGCAAGGCUGGAGUGCGGCAGAGGGGGAUGGAAUUCCGCGUGUAGCAGUGAAAUGCGUAGAUAUGCGGAGGAACACCGAUGGCGAAGGCAAUCCCCUGGGCCUGCACUGACGCUCAUGCACGAAAGCGUGGGGAGCAAACAGGAUUAGAUACCCGUGUAGUCC